This 64-nucleotide transfer RNA is filed under the name Uzeldikra longiprocessa. RNAcentral's name for it is "tRNA-Phe". The record is from RNAcentral. Lineage: Eukaryota; Metazoa; Arthropoda; Insecta; Hemiptera; Cicadellidae.
AUUCUGGUAGCUUAUAUUUAGAGCUUUAUAUUGAAGAUAUAAUGGAAAUUUUUAUUUUAGAAUA